Molecule: non-coding RNA, 28 nt
Filed under: Bombyx mori (domestic silkworm)
Lineage: Eukaryota; Metazoa; Arthropoda; Insecta; Lepidoptera; Bombycidae
Source: RNAcentral
UCAAUGGUUGAAAGCACUUUGGCUCAAA